RNAcentral lists this ribosomal RNA (520 nucleotides) under uncultured Entrophospora. RNAcentral describes it as "SSU rRNA". It matches the Rfam family "Eukaryotic small subunit ribosomal RNA", at positions 569 to 1082 of the family's 1831-position model. The record is from RNAcentral. Lineage: Eukaryota; Fungi; Glomeromycota; Glomeromycetes; Entrophosporales; Entrophosporaceae.
AGCAGCCGCGGUAAUUCCAGCUCCAAUAGCGUAUAUUAAAGUUGUUGCAGUUAAAAAGCUCGUAGUUGAAUUUCGGGAUUGACCCAUCGGUCGUGCCUUAAGGGGUAUGAACUGGUGUAGUCAAUUUCUCACCUUCUGGAGAACCGUGAUGUCCUUAAUUGGGUGCCACGAGGAACCAGGACCUUUACUUUGAAAAAAGUUAAAGUGUUUAAAGCAGGCAUUUUUGCUUGAAUACAUUAGCAUGGAAUAAUAAAAUAGGACGGCAUGAUUCUAUUUUGUUGGUUUCUAGGAUCACCGUAAUGAUUAAUGGGGAUAGUUGGGGGCAUUAGUAUUCAAUUGUCAGAGGUGAAAUUCUUGGAUUUAUUGAAGACUAACUACUGCGAAAGCAUUUGCCAAGGAUGUUUUCAUUAAUCAAGAACGAAAGUUAGGGGAUCGAAGACGAUCAGAUACCGUCGUAGUCUUAACCAUAAACUAUGCCGACUAGGAAUCAGACGAUGUUAAUUUUUUAAUGACUCGUUUG